AGAGUUUGAUCAUGGCUCAGAACGAACGCUGGCGGCGUGGAUUAGGCAUGCAAGUCGAACGCGAAUGAGGGGGAAACCCCUCUAGUAGAGUGGCGAACGGGUGAGUAACGCGUGAAGAACCUGCCUUCAACAGGGGGAUAACACUCCCAACGGGGUGCUAAUACCGCAUGAGACCACGGAUCUGCAUAGAUCUGAGGUCAAAGGUGGCCUCUGCUUGCAAGCUACCGGUUGAAGAUGGCUUCGCGUCCCAUUAGCUAGUUGGCGGUGUAACGGACCACCAAGGCGACGAUGGGUAGCUGGUCUGAGAGGAUGGUCAGCCACACUGGGACUGAGAUACGGCCCAGACUCCUACGGGAGGCAGCAGUCGAGAGGCUUUGGCAAUGGGGGAAACCCUGACCAAGCGACGCCGCGUGGAGGAUGAAGGCCCUUGGGUUGUAAACUCCUUUUGUCGGGGAAGAAAUGCGAUCAGGUGAAUAAUCUGGUCGUUUGACGGUACCCGGCGAAUAGU
Molecule: ribosomal RNA, 508 nt
Filed under: uncultured Latescibacterota bacterium
Lineage: Bacteria; Pseudomonadati; Candidatus Latescibacterota
Description: bacterial SSU rRNA
Rfam family: Bacterial small subunit ribosomal RNA
Source: RNAcentral